GUGCUUGCUUCAGCAGCACAUAUAUAAAAUUGGAACGAUACAGAGAAGAUUAGCAUGGCUCCUAUGCAAGGAUGACACGUGAAUUUGUGAAUCAUUCCAUAUUUUU
Mustela erminea (ermine) is the source of this 106-nucleotide small nuclear RNA. NCBI's taxonomy places the organism in Eukaryota, Metazoa, Chordata, Mammalia, Carnivora, Mustelidae. The record is from RefSeq and is a predicted model, not a curated record.